CAUAACACAGAGUCUAUACAGGUAGAUAACACAGAGUCAUAACACAGAGUCUAUACAGGUAGAUAACACAGAGUCAUAACACAGAGUCUAUACAGGUACAUAACACAGAGUCAUAACACAGAGUCUAUACAGGUACAUAACACAGAGUCUAUACAGGUACAUAACACAGAGUCUAUACAGGUACAUAACACAGAGUCUAUACAGGUACAUAACACAGAGUCAUAACACAGAGUCUAUACAGGUACAUAACACAGAGUCUAUACAGGUACAUAACACAGAGUCUAUACAGGUACAUAACACAGAGUCUAUACAGGUACAUAACACAGAGUCUAUACAGGUACAUAACACA
Molecule: long non-coding RNA, 349 nt
Organism: Oncorhynchus gorbuscha (pink salmon)
Lineage: Eukaryota; Metazoa; Chordata; Actinopteri; Salmoniformes; Salmonidae
Exons: 3
Source: RefSeq, a predicted model, not a curated record